Molecule: long non-coding RNA, 511 nt
Filed under: Danio rerio (zebrafish)
Lineage: Eukaryota; Metazoa; Chordata; Actinopteri; Cypriniformes; Danionidae
Description: lncRNA si:dkey-190i10.1 (ENSDARG00000097112.2)
Source: RNAcentral
UGGACAAGUCUAAAAUGGCUUGUUAUAAAGAGCCGACCCCGCAACCAUACGGGACUAAGGCCAAAGAAAAGGAAGAAGAUUGUUUGUCCUCACAAUGAAAUUGGUUAGAAAGAGUGUUUACAGGUCUGGUAAUCCUGCCACAAACUUACUUCACCUCCAAUUUUUGCACAGAGCUGAUCUCCUUUUGUUGCACAUCAGGAUUUGUCAAGAUUUAAUUUCAGAAUGCCAUCGGUGCAGAAAGGCCAUCUAUGCAGUGUGCAGGAUGUGAUUUCUACAGUUCAAAAUGGACAAAGGGAUUUUGAAAUGGAUGAAAGCGACUCGGAGAAAAAAGAUGCAGGUGAAAUAAACAUAUAAAACCACCAACCCAUUGACUGCUCUGCCAAUGAUAAUAUGGACAUCAAGCCCCAACCAAAUAAACACACCAUGCCACAUGAAAUGUUUUGCUGGUUGAAAAGAAGUUUUUCAGUCUCAAUACUCAUUUUUCUUGUGCAGAAAUCGCCAAUGUUGCCAC